RNAcentral lists this ribosomal RNA (429 nucleotides) under Chloroflexota bacterium. Its description in RNAcentral is "Chloroflexi bacterium partial 16S ribosomal RNA". It matches the Rfam family "Bacterial small subunit ribosomal RNA", at positions 355 to 776 of the family's 1533-position model. Lineage: Bacteria; Bacillati; Chloroflexota. The record is from RNAcentral.
UAGGGAAUCUUCGGCAAUGGACGAAAGUCUGACCGAGCAACGCCGCGUGAGUGAAGAAGGUUUUCGGAUCGUAAAACUCUGUUGUUAGAGAAGAACAAGGACGUUAGUAACUGAACGUCCCCUGACGGUAUCUAACCAGAAAGCCACGGCUAACUACGUGCCAGCAGCCGCGGUAAUACGUAGGUGGCAAGCGUUGUCCGGAUUUAUUGGGCGUAAAGCGAGCGCAGGCGGUUUCUUAAGUCUGAUGUGAAAGCCCCCGGCUCAACCGGGGAGGGUCAUUGGAAACUGGGAGACUUGAGUGCAGAAGAGGAGAGUGGAAUUCCAUGUGUAGCGGUGAAAUGCGUAGAUAUAUGGAGGAACACCAGUGGCGAAGGCGGCUCACUGGACUGUAACUGACGCUGAGGCUCGAAAGCGUGGGGAGCAAACAGG